Molecule: ribosomal RNA, 492 nt
Filed under: uncultured bacterium
Lineage: Bacteria
Description: partial 16S ribosomal RNA
Rfam family: Bacterial small subunit ribosomal RNA
Source: RNAcentral
AGUGAACGCUGGCGGUAGGCCUAACACAUGCCAGUCGAACGGCAGCACAGUAAGAGCUUGCUCUUACGGGUGGCGAGUGGCGGACGGGUGAGGAAUACAUCGGAAUCUACUUUUUCGUGGGGGAUAACGUAGGGAAACUUACGCUAAUACCGCAUACGACCUACGGGUGAAAGCAGGGGAUCUUCGGACCUUGCGCGAUUGAAUGAGCCGAUGUCGGAUUAGCUAGUUGGCGGGGUAAAGGCCCACCAAGGCGACGAUCCGUAGCUGGUCUGAGAGGAUGAUCAGCCACACUGGAACUGAGACACGGUCCAGACUCCUACGGGAGGCAGCAGUGGGGAAUAUUGGACAAUGGGCGCAAGCCUGAUCCAGCCAUACCGCGUGGGUGAAGAAGUCCUUCGGGUUGUAAAGCCCUUUUGUUGGGAAAGAAAAGCAGCAGGUUAAUACCCCGCUGUUCUGACGGUACCCAAAGAAUAAGCACCGGCUAACUUCGUG